GGUUCCACCUGUCUCCAGAUUAUUUCCCUGUAAGUCUGGGAUGUGGCACAGUGGACAGAGGCCAGGCCUGAAGUCAGGAAGAUGUCUUUCUGAGUUCAAAUCUGGCCUCAGACA
Molecule: small nucleolar RNA, 114 nt
Organism: Gracilinanus agilis (Agile Gracile Mouse Opossum)
Lineage: Eukaryota; Metazoa; Chordata; Mammalia; Didelphimorphia; Didelphidae
Product: small nucleolar RNA SNORA17
Exons: 1
Source: RefSeq, a predicted model, not a curated record